Molecule: ribosomal RNA, 2903 nt
Filed under: Yersinia pestis Pestoides G
Lineage: Bacteria; Pseudomonadati; Pseudomonadota; Gammaproteobacteria; Enterobacterales; Yersiniaceae
Description: bacterial LSU rRNA
Rfam family: Bacterial large subunit ribosomal RNA
Source: RNAcentral
UAAGCGACUAAGCGUACACGGUGGAUGCCUAGGCAGUCAGAGGCGAUGAAGGGCGUGCUAAUCUGCGAAAAGCGUCGGUAAGCUGAUAUGAAGCGUUAUAACCGACGAUACCCGAAUGGGGAAACCCAGUGCAAUACGUUGCACUAUCGUUAGAUGAAUACAUAGUCUAACGAGGCGAACCGGGGGAACUGAAACAUCUAAGUACCCCGAGGAAAAGAAAUCAACCGAGAUUCCCCCAGUAGCGGCGAGCGAACGGGGAGGAGCCCAGAGUCUGAAUCAGUUUGUGUGUUAGUGGAAGCGUCUGGAAAGUCGCACGGUACAGGGUGAUAGUCCCGUACACCAAAAUGCACAGGCUGUGAACUCGAUGAGUAGGGCGGGACACGUGACAUCCUGUCUGAAUAUGGGGGGACCAUCCUCCAAGGCUAAAUACUCCUGACUGACCGAUAGUGAACCAGUACCGUGAGGGAAAGGCGAAAAGAACCCCGGCGAGGGGAGUGAAAUAGAACCUGAAACCGUGUACGUACAAGCAGUGGGAGCACCUUCGUGGUGUGACUGCGUACCUUUUGUAUAAUGGGUCAGCGACUUAUAUUUUGUAGCAAGGUUAACCGAAUAGGGGAGCCGUAGGGAAACCGAGUCUUAACUGGGCGUCUAGUUGCAAGGUAUAGACCCGAAACCCGGUGAUCUAGCCAUGGGCAGGUUGAAGGUUGGGUAACACUAACUGGAGGACCGAACCGACUAAUGUUGAAAAAUUAGCGGAUGACUUGUGGCUGGGGGUGAAAGGCCAAUCAAACCGGGAGAUAGCUGGUUCUCCCCGAAAGCUAUUUAGGUAGCGCCUCGUGAACUCAUCUUCGGGGGUAGAGCACUGUUUCGGCUAGGGGGCCAUCCCGGCUUACCAAACCGAUGCAAACUCCGAAUACCGAAGAAUGUUAUCACGGGAGACACACGGCGGGUGCUAACGUCCGUCGUGAAGAGGGAAACAACCCAGACCGCCAGCUAAGGUCCCAAAGUCAUGGUUAAGUGGGAAACGAUGUGGGAAGGCACAGACAGCCAGGAUGUUGGCUUAGAAGCAGCCAUCAUUUAAAGAAAGCGUAAUAGCUCACUGGUCGAGUCGGCCUGCGCGGAAGAUGUAACGGGGCUAAACCAUGCACCGAAGCUGCGGCAGCGACACUUAGGUGUUGUUGGGUAGGGGAGCGUUCUGUAAGCCGUUGAAGGUGACCUGUGAGGGUUGCUGGAGGUAUCAGAAGUGCGAAUGCUGACAUAAGUAACGAUAAUGCGGGUGAAAAACCCGCACGCCGGAAGACCAAGGGUUCCUGUCCAACGUUAAUCGGGGCAGGGUGAGUCGACCCCUAAGGCGAGGCUGAAAAGCGUAGUCGAUGGGAAACAGGUUAAUAUUCCUGUACUUGGUGUUACUGCGAAGGGGGGACGGAGAAGGCUAGGCUGGCCGGGCGACGGUUGUCCCGGUUUAAGCGUGUAGGGGGAGUGACCAGGUAAAUCCGGUUGCUUAUCAACCCUGAGGCGUGAUGACGAUGCACCACGGUGCAGAAGCAGUUGAUGCCAUGCUUCCAGGAAAAGCCUCUAAGCAUCAGGUAACAUUAAAUCGUACCCCAAACCGACACAGGUGGUCAGGUAGAGAAUACUCAGGCGCUUGAGAGAACUCGGGUGAAGGAACUAGGCAAAAUGGUGCCGUAACUUCGGGAGAAGGCACGCUGGCGUUAGGUGAAAGGACUAGCUCCUGGAGCUGAAGCCAGUCGCAGAUACCAGCUGGCUGCAACUGUUUAAUAAAAACACAGCACUGUGCAAACACGAAAGUGGACGUAUACGGUGUGACGCCUGCCCGGUGCUGGAAGGUUAAUUGAUGGGGUCAGCCGCGAGGCGAAGCUCUUGAUCGAAGCCCCAGUAAACGGCGGCCGUAACUAUAACGGUCCUAAGGUAGCGAAAUUCCUUGUCGGGUAAGUUCCGACCUGCACGAAUGGCGUAAUGAUGGCCAGGCUGUCUCCACCCGAGACUCAGUGAAAUUGAACUCGCUGUGAAGAUGCAGUGUACCCGCGGCAAGACGGAAAGACCCCGUGAACCUUUACUAUAGCUUGACACUGAACAUUGAGCCUUGAUGUGUAGGAUAGGUGGGAGGCCUUGAAGUGUGGACGCCAGUCUGCAUGGAGCCAACCUUGAAAUACCACCCUUUAAUGUUUGAUGUUCUAACUCGGCCCCAUGAUCUGGGGUGAGGACAGUGUCUGGUGGGUAGUUUGACUGGGGCGGUCUCCUCCCAAAGAGUAACGGAGGAGCACGAAGGUUAGCUAAUCACGGUCGGACAUCGUGAGGUUAGUGCAAAGGCAUAAGCUAGCUUGACUGCGAGAGUGACGGCUCGAGCAGGUACGAAAGUAGGUCUUAGUGAUCCGGUGGUUCUGAAUGGAAGGGCCAUCGCUCAACGGAUAAAAGGUACUCCGGGGAUAACAGGCUGAUACCGCCCAAGAGUUCAUAUCGACGGCGGUGUUUGGCACCUCGAUGUCGGCUCAUCACAUCCUGGGGCUGAAGUAGGUCCCAAGGGUAUGGCUGUUCGCCAUUUAAAGUGGUACGCGAGCUGGGUUUAGAACGUCGUGAGACAGUUCGGUCCCUAUCUGCCGUGGGCGUUGGAAGAUUGAGAGGGGCUGCUCCUAGUACGAGAGGACCGGAGUGGACGAAUCACUGGUGUUCGGGUUGUCAUGCCAAUGGCAUUGCCCGGUAGCUAAAUUCGGAAGAGAUAACCGCUGAAAGCAUCUAAGCGGGAAACUUGCCUCGAGAUGAGUCUUCCCUGGGGCUUAAAGCCCCCUGAAGGAACGUUAAAGACUAUGACGUUGAUAGGCUGGGUGUGUAAGUGCAGCGAUGUAUUGAGCUAACCAGUACUAAUGAUCCGUGAGGCUUAACCU